Molecule: unclassified non-coding RNA, 532 nt
Filed under: Hevea brasiliensis (rubber tree)
Lineage: Eukaryota; Viridiplantae; Streptophyta; Magnoliopsida; Malpighiales; Euphorbiaceae
Source: RNAcentral
GCUACUCAAAAGGGAAAGCAUAAGCCAAGAUGCUUUCUACUGCUGCAAUUUAAUUGGCCAAGUUCCUCCAACACAUGAUCAAUUAUCUCUGCAUCUUGAACAAAUGUCUUUCCUUUUUUUUUUUUUUUUCAUCCUUUCUUUUUCCUUCCAUCCCAUUGCGUCUCCAAUUCUGAAGUACGUUCGAAGUCAACAUCUGGCAGCAUCUAGUAGAUCAUCCUCCCAAGUUUCAGGAGAAAAAUUUUUUGGUAUGAGCUGGGUAUCACCCCUUUGUCUGUACAUCUCGUGUUCAAUUUCUACAACAGCAACAAGUUCCCAUUCUGUUAACAAAUCUAACAUUAUCUGCCAGGGCCUGAAGUCAUCCCAUUCACAUCUUCAUCAUCACUAUUACUGCCAUUGUCGUUAGAUGGCCGUUUCAACCUCUGGAAUAUCUCAUCAAGAGACUCGGAUGAUGAAUCAUGAGAGACGAGUUUAGUUUCCUGCAUUUGCCGUAAAGGAAGAAAUCUUUUGGCCCCUAUGUUUGCCUUAAAACUUU